AAACUGUGGUGGCGCAGGUCCAGGGUUUGCUGUGGCAGCACGCAAUGCUCAGGCCCACCAGGAGCUGAAUGAAUUCCUGGAGGACCUUGAGUUCGAGGCUGCGGUGCAGCAGGCAGAACUGGCCAUUAAGCACGUCAUCUUUCCCAAGCCCCAUCUACCAGGGCUCCAGCAGAAGCUACUUGUCAAGGACCCUCACGGGGUCUUCAAAUCCAACAAUGAAGAGCCCCUAUGGGCAACUUAAUCCUAAGUGGAUCAAGUGGUUGCAGAAGCUGUGCCAUCCCUGCUGUUUUGGCCAUGGUGCAUACCUUGUCCUCAACCAGGGUUACCUCUCAGAGGCAGAGGGUGACCUGGUGGACUGAAAACUAGAAUGCAACAUUGUACUCCUCACAAAGGUAGUAUACCUGGCCAAUAAGACAUUCAACUAUAGAGCCAUUGACAGAGUGAUGUCCAGGGGCAAGCAGCUUAUGCUAGAGAAAGUGUCAAAAGUUGGGCAGUGGUUUAACCCCAUCAGGCAACCCACCAAAGCUUGGCUCAUUCCAGCUUUUUGUUGAAGGCUAUAAAGGUGCAGACUAUUGGGUGUGGCGUUUUGAAGCAGAACUGCUUCCUGAGAACAUUAACCAGCAACUGAUCCUGCAGUUCCAGCCGCUGGUGGUGCUGGAUCACAUCAUCUGCGACACUGACAGAGACAAUGACAACUGGUAAAUGUGACUGUCCAAAGGAUAGCUCUAGCUUUCAGCACACAGACUGGGUGAUGGUGAAGGAGCCUGUUAUCAAGGUGUCUGCCAUAGACAAUGGGCUGGCCUUCCCACAAAAGCAGCCUGACUCCUAGAGGGAAUAUCCUUUGCACCGGGCCUGGUUGCCCCGGACAAAAGUCCCAUUCUCUUAGGAGUUCAAAGAUCUGAUCCUUCCAAAGAUAUCCAACCCAACUUCAAGGACUUGGAAGAGGACCUAUGUGAACUCUUCAGGAAAGCUCCUGGAAAAAAAAUCUGGUUUUGACAAGGACCAGUUUGAUAAGCAGAUUACUGUCAUGCUGGGUCAGAUCCUAAAUCUGACUCAGGCCUUGAAAGACAAGAGUCCCCUGCACCUUGUCCAGAUGCCACCUGUGGUUGUUGAGAUGAGAUGGCCCAUUCCCACCAGCGGUUUUCUAGCGAAUCCUACACACAGAGAUUUGAGUUUCAAAAGU
Molecule: long non-coding RNA, 1183 nt
Filed under: Homo sapiens (human)
Lineage: Eukaryota; Metazoa; Chordata; Mammalia; Primates; Hominidae
Description: non-protein coding lnc-KIF2B-3:1
Source: RNAcentral